Molecule: long non-coding RNA, 179 nt
Organism: Haliotis rubra (blacklip abalone)
Lineage: Eukaryota; Metazoa; Mollusca; Gastropoda; Lepetellida; Haliotidae
Exons: 3
Source: RefSeq, a predicted model, not a curated record
UGUUCUAACCUGAAGGAGGUGUCCUAUUACCAUGAAGGUGGUGCCCUAUGACCAUGAAAUUGGUGUUCUUCCCUGAAGGUAGUGUUCAAACCUGAAGGAGGUGUCCUAUUACCAUGAAGGUGGUGCCCUAUGACCAUGAAAUUGGUGUUCUUCCCUGAAGGUAGUGUUCAAACCUGUAG